This is a long non-coding RNA of Lacerta agilis (Sand lizard), 234 nucleotides long. RefSeq lists it as uncharacterized. NCBI's taxonomy places the organism in Eukaryota, Metazoa, Chordata, Lepidosauria, Squamata, Lacertidae. The transcript is spliced from 2 exons. The record is from RefSeq and is a predicted model, not a curated record.
AAUCCUCAUAAGAAACACACCAGCUGGGAUUUCGCUAAUUCUUUCUUCUUCGUGGGAACUAUGUUAGCCACAAUAGGCUAUGGAAACCUCUGUCCCCAAACAGCAGAUGGUCAGAUUUUUUGUGUUAUUUUUGCUCUCUUUGGAAUCCCCUUCAACCUCAUCUGCUUGAACUAUAUUGGCUUUUUUGUCUCAAGAAUCUUUGAAACCUGUGCAGAGAAAGUAUAUUGGAAAGAA